GCAUCCUAUAUUCCCAGCAUCCCAUCUACAGGACUCACAACCUGGGCCAUUCUUCCAAAGUAAAGAAGAGGACCAUUUAUGAGAUUGAUGACAAGAACUGCAGAAGAGAUUUGCAAGGGAAUAAAAUUAUGUUUUAGGAAAGCAGUGCAUUAAUCUUUUAAAAAUAAGAUGCAAUCAAUUUCUGGUUAAGCUGUUUAAAAUAUCCAGCUCCCUUUAUAACGUGCAGUUUAGUUGUCAGAAACAAUCAUGUGUUUUAUUUCUUACUAUUGAAACCCUUGUGUGCUUACGAAGGAAUAAAAACAUUCUAAGAUAGUGAAGCUCCUGCCUGUUAGAGGCGCAAGGGACACAUUUAGUUUUUCCGUGGCACAAGCCUCACUGGAUUAGGAUGCUUCUGAUACAGAAUUGCGUGCUGGCUCGACUUUGCACCAGGUGAGGCACCAGAGGUGGAUCAUGCUUGUGAACCUCAGUUUUCCAUUGUAUACACUGGGCAUGAAAAUACCUAUAUCAGGGAGUGGAAAGAGAUGAUACGGAUGCACAUGUAAAUGUACCUCAAGCACAUUCUCCAUGUGCUCUACAAGUGGUUAUGCAUUGAAUGAUUAUUUCGCAUCUUGGUAACCAAAUCUAUUUUCAAAAUGAUGCUUAUCAGGGUGGAUGAUCUGUGAGGGUUUAACCAAAUUGCCUCUAGCAGGAACUUGAAGAACUGUGGUGCUGUGUGUGGGUCUGCCUGGGAGCACCGCAGCUGCUUGGUAAAGCUGGGGAUCUCAUUUCCAUGCAGAGGAUUUGCUACGAAAUGGGUCACCUGUGUAGAGAGCAUUUCCCUACUUAUUCUAUUACGUGCAGGAAGCAGCACCAGAUGAAAUACACAUUCAAGCUGUCCGAUGUCAGGGUGCUCUAUUCCAACUCUCAGGUUUAAAAAUGUACAGGAUCCACUUUAAGCUAAAAGCUAAACCUUGACUGUAACCAAUUGCAAUGGUGUUUAUGCCCGUGUUUGAAAUAAUCUUCUGUAAGAGAAGUACACUGCUCAGAUUUGCCUAUUGGCUUGGAUUUAUGUAGUACUGGCUGGUGACAGCUGGACACAGCUGACUCCAAGGCACAUUUAAUCACCUUUUUCUUUGUUUUUCUGAUGAGAUUAUGUUACAAAUUCUAUAGGCCACAUACUUACUUGCCUAAUACUAAGAAUGUCUAAAAAACUAGAUUCAAAAACCCCAUAGUCUGUCCAGCUCACCUGUACCUAUUGAACUUACAUGUACUUUAAAAAAUCAUUGUGGCCGGGCGCGGUGGCUCAUGCCUGUAGUCCCAGGACUUUGGGAGGCUGAGGUGGGUGGAUCACGAGGUCAGGAGAUCGAGACCAUCCUGGCUCACACAGUGAAACCCCAUCUCUACUGAAAAUACAAAAAAUUAGCCGGGCGUGGUGGCGGGAGCCUGUAGUCCCAGCUACUUGGGAGGCUGAGGCAGGAGAAUGACGGGAACCCGGGAGGCGGAGCUCUCAGUGAGCCAAGAUCGUGCCACUGCACUCCAGCCUGGGAGGCAGAGCAAGACUCCAUCUCAAAAAAAAAAAAAAAAAAAA
Macaca fascicularis (crab-eating macaque) is the source of this 1567-nucleotide long non-coding RNA. Lineage: Eukaryota; Metazoa; Chordata; Mammalia; Primates; Cercopithecidae. The record is from Ensembl.